AGAGUUUGAUCCUGGCUCAGGACGAACGCUGGCGGCGCGCCUAACACAUGCAAGUCGAGCGAUGAAAGUUGUUCAGAUCCUUCGGGUGACGAACUUCUGGAUUAGCGGCGAACGGGUGAGUAACGCGUGAGGAACCUGCCUCUCACAACGGGAUAGCCUCGGGAAACCGGGAUUAAUACCGUAUAAGACUCCGACAUCUCCUGGUGAUGAAGUCAAAGUGCUAGCGGUAAGAGAUGGCCUCGCGUCUGAUUAGUUAGUUGGUGGGGUAACGGCCUACCAAGACGACGAUCAGUAACCGGCCUGAGAGGGUGAACGGUCACAUUGGAACUGAGACACGGUCCAAACUCCUACGGGAGGCAGCAGUGGGGAAUCUUGCACAAUGGGGGAAACCCUGAUGCAGCGACGCCGCGUGAGCGAUGAAGGUUUUCGAAUCGUAAAGCUCUGUCCUAUGGGAAGAUAAUGACGGUACCAUAGGAGGAAGCCCCGGCUAACUACGUGCCAGCAGCCGCGGUAAUACGUAGGGGGCGAGCGUUGUCCGGAAUUACUGGGCGUAAAGGGUUCGCAGGCGGCAUGGCAAGUCCGAUGUAAAAGGCGAAGGCUCAACCUUCGUAAGCAUCGGAAACUGUCAAGCUUGAGUGAAGGAGAGGCAAGUGGAAUUCCUAGUGUAGCGGUGGAAUGCGUAGAUAUUAGGAGGAAUACCGGUGGCGAAGGCGACUUGCUGGACUUCAACUGACGCUGAGGAACGAAAGCGUGGGUAGCAAACAGGAUUAGAUACCCUGGUAGUCCACGCCGUAAACGAUGAGUGCUAGGUGUCGGGGGUCAAACCUCGGUGCCGUCGUUAACACACUAAGCACUCCGCCUGGGGAGUACGUGCGCAAGCAUGAAACUCAAAGGAAUUGACGGGGACCCGCACAAGCAGCGGAGCAUGUGGUUUAAUUCGAAGCAAGGUGGUGCAUGGUUGUCGUCAGCUCGUGUCGUGAGAUGUUGGGUUAAGUCCCGCAACGAGCGCAACCCUUACUUUUAGUUGCCAGCACGUAACGGUGGGAACUCUAAAGGGACUGCCGAUGAUAAAUCGGAGGAAGGUGGGGAUGACGUCAAAUCAUCAUGCCCUUUAUGUCCUGGGCUACACACGUGCUACAAUGGUCGGUACAGAGGGCAGCGACAGAGCGAUCUCAAGCGAAUCUCAAAAAGCCGAUCCCAGUUCGGAUUGCAGGCUGCAACUCGCCUGCAUGAAGUCGGAGUUGCUAGUAAUCGCAGAUCAGAAUGCUGCGGUGAAUGCGUUCCCGGGUCUUGUACACACCGCCCGUCACACCAUGGGAGUUGGCAAUACCCGAAGCCAGCGAGCCAACCGUAAGGAGGCAGCUGUCGAAGGUAGGGUUAAUGACUGGGGUGAAGUCGUAACAAGGUAGCCGUAUCGGAAGGUGCGGCUG
RNAcentral lists this ribosomal RNA (1430 nucleotides) under human vaginal metagenome. Its description in RNAcentral is "bacterial SSU rRNA". It matches the Rfam family "Bacterial small subunit ribosomal RNA". The record is from RNAcentral.